UCUUUGAUGGUCUAACGGUCAUGAUUUCCGCUUGUCAUCUUGGUGACAAGGCGCGGGAGACCAGGGUUCGACUCCCUGUCAGAGAG
Myriangium duriaei CBS 260.36 is the source of this 86-nucleotide non-coding RNA. Lineage: Eukaryota; Fungi; Ascomycota; Dothideomycetes; Myriangiales; Myriangiaceae. The record is from the annotation of a GenBank genome assembly.